GACGAACGCUGGCGGCGUGCUUAACACAUGCAAGUCGAACGAAGAGCGAUGGAAGCUUGCUUCUAUCAAUCUUAGUGGCGCACGGGUGAGUAACGCGUAAUCAACCUGCCCUUCAGAGGGGGACAACAGUUGGAAACGACUGCUAAUACCGCAUACGAUCUAACCUCGGCAUCGAGGAUAGAUGAAAGGUGGCCUCUACAUGUAAGCUAUCACUGAAGGAGGGGAUUGCGUCUGAUUAGCUAGUUGGAGGGGUAACGGCCCACCAAGGCGAUGAUCAGUAGCCGGUCUGAGAGGAUGAACGGCCACAUUGGGACUGAGACACGGCCCAGACUCCUACGGGAGGCAGCAGUGGGGAAUCUUCCGCAAUGGACGAAAGUCUGACGGAGCAACGCCGCGGGAGUGAUGACGGCCUUCGGGUUGUAAAGCUCUGUUAAUCGGGACGAAAGGCCUUCUUGCGAAUAGUGAGAAGGAUUGACGGUACCGGAAUAGAAAGCCACGGCUAACUACGUG
RNAcentral lists this ribosomal RNA (510 nucleotides) under uncultured bacterium. Its description in RNAcentral is "partial 16S ribosomal RNA". It matches the Rfam family "Bacterial small subunit ribosomal RNA", at positions 28 to 507 of the family's 1533-position model. The record is from RNAcentral.